AGGGAGGAAAGAACCAACCGGGAUUGCCUCAGUAACGGCGAGUGAAGCGGCAAGAGCUCAAAUUUGAAAGCUGGCCCCUCCGGGGUCCGCGUUGUAAUUUGCAGAGGAUGCUUUGGGUGCGGCCCCCGUCUAAGUGCCCUGGAACGGGCCGUCAGAGAGGGUGAGAAUCCCGUCUUGGGCGGGGUGUCCGUGCCCGUGUAAAGCUCCUUCGACGAGUCGAGUUGUUUGGGAAUGCAGCUCUAAAUGGGUGGUAAAUUUCAUCUAAAGCUAAAUACUGGCCGGAGACCGAUAGCGCACAAGUAGAGUGAUCGAAAGAUGAAAAGCACUUUGAAAAGAGAGUUAAACAGCACGUGAAAUUGUUGAAAGGGAAGCGCUUGCGACCAGACUCGCCCUCGGGGUUCAGCCGGCACUCGUGCCGGUGUACUUCCCCGGGGGCGGGCCAGCGUCAGCUUGGGCGGCCGGUCAAAGGCCUCCGGAAUGUAGUGCCCCCCGGGGCACCUUAUAGCCGGAGGUGCAAUGCGGCCAGCCUGGGCUGAGGAACGCGCUUCGGCACGGACGCUGGCAUAAUGGUCGCAAACGACCCGUCUUGAAACACGGACCAAGGAGUCUAACAUCUACGCGAGUGUUCGGGUGUCAAACCCGUACGCGCAGUGAAAGCAAACGGGAGGUGGGAGCCCCCUCGCGGGGGCGCACCAUCGACCCGAUCCUGAUGUCUUCGGGAUGGAUUUGAGUAAGGAGCGUAAAUGGUGGGGGGACCCGAAAGGAUGGGUGACUAUGCCUGGAUAAGGGCGGAAGCCAGAGGAAACUUCUGGAUGGGAGGCUCGCAGUCGGUUUCUGGACGUGCCAAAUCCGAUUCGGUCUAAUUUGGGUAUACGAGGCGCGAAAGAAUC
RNAcentral lists this ribosomal RNA (890 nucleotides) under Aspergillus indologenus. Its description in RNAcentral is "partial large subunit ribosomal RNA". It matches the Rfam family "Eukaryotic large subunit ribosomal RNA", at positions 50 to 936 of the family's 3401-position model. The record is from RNAcentral. Lineage: Eukaryota; Fungi; Ascomycota; Eurotiomycetes; Eurotiales; Aspergillaceae.